Molecule: ribosomal RNA, 530 nt
Filed under: Arthrobacter globiformis
Lineage: Bacteria; Bacillati; Actinomycetota; Actinomycetes; Micrococcales; Micrococcaceae
Description: bacterial SSU rRNA
Rfam family: Bacterial small subunit ribosomal RNA
Source: RNAcentral
UGGGCGUAAAGAGCUCGUAGGCGGUUUGUCGCGUCUGCCGUGAAAGUCCGGGGCUCAACUCCGGAUCUGCGGUGGGUACGGGCAGACUAGAGUGAUGUAGGGGAGACUGGAAUUCCUGGUGUAGCGGUGAAAUGCGCAGAUAUCAGGAGGAACACCGAUGGCGAAGGCAGGUCUCUGGGCAUUAACUGACGCUGAGGAGCGAAAGCAUGGGGAGCGAACAGGAUUAGAUACCCUGGUAGUCCAUGCCGUAAACGUUGGGCACUAGGUGUGGGGGACAUUCCACGUUUUCCGCGCCGUAGCUAACGCAUUAAGUGCCCCGCCUGGGGAGUACGGCCGCAAGGCUAAAACUCAAAGGAAUUGACGGGGGCCCGCACAAGCGGCGGAGCAUGCGGAUUAAUUCGAUGCAACGCGAAGAACCUUACCAAGGCUUGACAUGGACCGGACCGCCGCAGAAAUGUGGUUUCCCCUUUGGGGCUGGUUUACAGGUGGUGCAUGGUUGUCGUCAGCUCGUGUCGUGAGAUGUUGGGUUA